UCUGACGGAGCACGCCGCGUGAGUGAUGAAGGCUUUCGGGUCGUAAAACUCUGUUGUUAGGGAAGAACAAGUGCUAGUUGAAUAAGCUGGCACCUUGACGGUACCUAACCAGAAAGCCACGGCUAACUACGUGCCAGCAGCCGCGGUAAUACGUAGGUGGCAAGCGUUAUCCGGAAUUAUUGGGCGUAAAGCGCGCGCAGGUGGUUUCUUAAGUCUGAUGUGAAAGCCCACGGCUCAACCGUGGAGGGUCAUUGGAAACUGGGAGACUUGAGUGCAGAAGAGGAAAGUGGAAUUCCAUGUGUAGCGGUGAAAUGCGUAGAGAUAUGGAGGAACACCAGUGGCGAAGGCGACUUUCUGGUCUGUAACUGACACUGAGGCGCGAAAGCGUGGGGAGCAAACAGGAUUAGAUACCCUGGUAGUCCACGCCGUAAACGAUGAGUGCUAAGUGUUAGAGGGUUUCCGCCCUUUAGUGCUGAAGUUAACGCAUUAAGCACUCCGCCUGGGGAGUACGGCCGCAAGGCUGAAACUCAAGNUUUUCGGGGGGGAA
Molecule: ribosomal RNA, 547 nt
Filed under: bacterium MC013
Lineage: Bacteria
Description: bacterial SSU rRNA
Rfam family: Bacterial small subunit ribosomal RNA
Source: RNAcentral